AUAAUAUUGCCUUGUCUUAACACUCCCCCUAAAAAUGUAAUCUCAUCAGUUCCAACACUAUUCCCUGUAUGAGAUUCUUCUUAGAAGACUGCAACAGGUCCAGUUAUCCCUUAAGGUCCAAUGAUCCCUUAGGAUCAAUAACACAAAGUAACAGUACCGCAUGCCGAAUUCAGAAACACUUGCACAAAGGCACAAAGGCGCUAACAUAAAAGACAAGUCCUCUCCAAAGGCGAUGCCGACGAGAAAACAUUAACACAAAACAGCUCAUUGGGUUGUGCUUUUGUCUCCAAAGGUAAUAUUGUCAAGAAAAAAAUAACAGUAGAUG
Molecule: unclassified non-coding RNA, 325 nt
Filed under: Hevea brasiliensis (rubber tree)
Lineage: Eukaryota; Viridiplantae; Streptophyta; Magnoliopsida; Malpighiales; Euphorbiaceae
Source: RNAcentral